CCUACGGGAUGCAGCAGUGAGGAAUAUUGGUCAAUGGUCUUGCGCCUGAACCAGCCAAGUCGCGUGAGGGAAGAAUGCCCUGUGGAUUGUAAACCUCUUUUGUCAGGGAGCAAUUGGCGCUACGUGUAUCGUUCUCGGUAGUCCCUACAAAACAAGCAUCGGCUACCUCCGGUCCGCCGGCAGCGGUAAGCCGGGGGAUGCGGGCGUUAUCCGGAUUUAUUGGGUUUAAAGGUUUCGUGGGCGGCAUGCCAGGUCAGCGUUAAACUCGCGGGGCUAACCCUCGCUCCGCCGUUGAAACUGGCGGUCUUGAGUGGGAGAGAAGUAUGCGGAAUGCGCGGUGUAGCGGUGAAAUGCAUAGAUAUCACGCAGAACUCCGAUUGCGAAGGCAGCAUACCGGCGCCCAACUGACGCUGAAGCACGAAAGCGUGGGUAUCGAACAGGAUUAGAUACCCCUGUAGUC
Molecule: ribosomal RNA, 460 nt
Filed under: uncultured bacterium
Lineage: Bacteria
Description: partial 16S ribosomal RNA
Rfam family: Bacterial small subunit ribosomal RNA
Source: RNAcentral